GGGGUUGUAGUUCGGUGGUAGAACACCUGCUUGGCAUGAAGAAGGGCACGGGUUCAAUCCUUGGUAUCUUCA
This 72-nucleotide transfer RNA is filed under the name Sphaerodactylus townsendi. RNAcentral's name for it is "tRNA-Ala". Lineage: Eukaryota; Metazoa; Chordata; Lepidosauria; Squamata; Sphaerodactylidae. The record is from RNAcentral.